ACUUUUAAAGUAGAAAUCAUGUUCUGAAAUCAAAAUGAAAUGUAUAUUCUCUUUUGUGUCAGGUGUUUCUUGAAGCCACGGAAAGCCCUUUGGGAAAAACACAUAUUACAAACAUAACCUGGAGCUCCCUUUUCAUGGAAUGCCAGCACAAAGACUGAUUAUACUCAUGUGUGCCGAAUGUCCUCAUAUUUUUCAUUUUAAAAGAAGAGCACUGUGGGACAAUGUCAAGUUCACCACUGUAUCCUCAGGGCCAGAUACAUUGUACAAGCUCAUCUGUUGGAAUGCAGGAGAGAAGAAAGAGCAAAGAGAGGAAGAGGAUGAAGGAGACCACAACUGCAUCUUCAACUUUGUAACAAAGCUUACGUGUGCUGAAAAAAUCAAUGGAACCAUUGAUUUCUUAAUCCCGAAUGCUGAGGACCGGCCAAGGAGGCUGAGCCUGACUUGUUCUCUGGCUAGCCCAGCCUAGCUAAAUCUACACACAGAUAUCACCUGGCUUUGGUUUCUCCACAUUGUAACUGCUUCCUGUAGGACCACCAGAGAAAAAAAAACCUAGCUGCUGCUUUCCAGUUUAAUCAAACUGCAUAAAAUUCACUUUUCCUUUUUAUAUCAGGUGUUUAUUUCCUACGCAGGUGGGAGGCAGAAGACAGCCAGUUGGGAGCCACCUAUUUCUCUGGCUUGGCUGACUGUCCUAUAGGCAUCCAAGAUUCCCACAGACCCAGGCUUUGUACUGAAAUUUUCAAGGCAUUCUUUCCCCCAGAAAAGUACUGCUCCUACAUUUGCAACAAUUGGAAUACAGAGGAUAUCAGUUUGCAAUAUGGGUUUCUCACAAGACAGCAUGUGAAUUCCGUGUGGCAAUCUCUUUCUUAAUUUUCCCGAUCCCUGGGCUCUGCCAGAGUUCAAUGCCAUUUGCCUGCCAUGAUUUACUUUAAAAAGGGGGGGGGCAUGCUGCUCUCAGAAAUACAACUGCUUUCAACCAGGUCAAUGAGAAAUCAGUCUGUCAUAACCCAGCUGGCAACAGAUUGUCCAUGUCACAAGAGCAAGAAAUCAUCUCUCCCUUAAAAAAUCAUUAUGAUGAUCAAUGAGACUGACUCUACGAUGCUUGCAGAUACAAAAUGGGACAAUCAAGGAAGAAUCUAGACUUUUCAUCUUAGUAAAGCUUGAGAAAGAAUGAUUAUAAAUAAAAGUUUCCAGGGGCUGGGGAUGUGACUCA
RNAcentral lists this long non-coding RNA (1210 nucleotides) under Urocitellus parryii (Arctic ground squirrel). RNAcentral describes it as "lncRNA (ENSUPAG00010000631.1)". The record is from RNAcentral. Lineage: Eukaryota; Metazoa; Chordata; Mammalia; Rodentia; Sciuridae.